This 284-nucleotide unclassified non-coding RNA is filed under the name Hevea brasiliensis (rubber tree). Lineage: Eukaryota; Viridiplantae; Streptophyta; Magnoliopsida; Malpighiales; Euphorbiaceae. The record is from RNAcentral.
UUAUUUAGAAAAUGAAAAUGCUAACUCUGGUGUUACCCAAAUGAGUAAUAAGUAAUAUAUUAUACGCUGCCCAACACUCCUUCCUGUGAAAUAAUGUAUGAAAUUUCUUUCAAAUCAGAUGCUGCCCUGAAAAAUUUUUGUGAGCAUGCACUGAGAUCUCCCAAAAGUUUUGGAUAACCGAAUUUGGGGAUUGAUGGUAGUGCAUGGAGAUAAAUUAUUGACUAAAGACUGACAAUUUACUAUGAAUAUAGAGAGCAUGCUUUGUGUUGAAAGUUGUAACGAGG